RNAcentral lists this ribosomal RNA (1100 nucleotides) under uncultured bacterium. Its description in RNAcentral is "bacterial SSU rRNA". It matches the Rfam family "Bacterial small subunit ribosomal RNA", at positions 30 to 1076 of the family's 1533-position model. The record is from RNAcentral.
UGAACGCUGGCGGCAUGCUCUUACACAUGCAAGUCGAACGGUAACAGGUUAAGCUGACGAGUGGCGAACGGGUGAGUAAUAUAUCGGAACGUGCCCAGUAGUGGGGGAUAGCCCGGCGAAAGCCGGAUUAAUACCGCAUACGACCUACGGGUGAAAGCGGGGGAUCGCAAGACCUCGCGCUAUUGGAGCGCGCCGAUAUCAGAUUAGCUUGUUGGUGGGGUAAAAGCCCACCAAGGCGACGAUCUGUAGCUGGGUCUGAGAGGACGACCAGCCACCCACUGGGGACUGAGACACGGCCCAAACUCCUACAGGGGAGGCAGCAGUGGGUGUUUUUUUGGACAAUGGGACGCAGCAGUCUAAUCCCGCCCUUGCCGGGGGGGGGAAGAAAAGGCCUUCCGGGUUGUAAACCGCUUUGUGGCCAGGGAAGAAAAGUCUUCGGUUUAAUAACUUGGGGAAGAAAAAAGAAACCCUGAAGGAUAAGCACCCGCUAACUACGUUCCCAGCAGCCGCGGUAAAUACGUAGGGUGGCAAGCGUUAAUCGGAAUUUACUGGGCGUAAAAGCGUUGCGCAGGCGGUUCAUAUAAGACAGAUGUGAAAUCCCCGGGGCUCAACCUGGGAACUGCACUUUUUGUGACUGUUAGAGCUGGAGUACGGCACGAGGGGGAUGGAAUAUCCGCGUGUAGUCAGUGAAAUGCGUAGAUAUUUUGGAGAAACAACCCCGAUGGCGAAGGCAAUCCCCUGGGCCUGCUACUGACGCUCAUUUGCACGAAAGCGUGGGGAGCAAACUGGAUUAAGAUACCCUGGCGUAGUGCCACGCCCUAAACGCACAUCAACUGACAUGUGUUGGGAAGAGUUCCUUCUCAGUAACGUAGCUAACGCGUGAAGUUGACCGCCUGGAUUAGCACGGCCGCAAGGUUGAAACUCAAAGGAAUUGACGGGGACCCGCACAAGCGGUGGAUGAUGUGGUUUAAUUCGAUGCAACGCGAAAAACCUUACCUACCCUUGACAUGUCUAGAAUUUUGCAGAGAUGUGGAAGUGCUCGAAAGAGAACUAGAACACAGGUGCUGCAUGGCCGUCGUCAGCUCGUGUCGUGAGAUGUU